RNAcentral lists this microRNA precursor (121 nucleotides) under Gossypium hirsutum (cotton). Its description in RNAcentral is "MIR7504 microRNA precursor family". It matches the Rfam family "MIR7504 microRNA precursor family". The record is from Rfam by way of RNAcentral. Lineage: Eukaryota; Viridiplantae; Streptophyta; Magnoliopsida; Malvales; Malvaceae. RNAcentral also lists the same sequence under 1 other name.
AAUAGGAGCAUGACAAAUUAGAUUUUUCUUCUUGAUUUUCAACUUUUUCCUCCUAAAAAAUUCAAAUCUAACUAAAAAUGCUAAAAAUCAAGAGAAAUAUUUGAUUUGUCAUACUCUUAUU